GAUGAACGCUGGCGGCGUGCCUAAUACAUGCAAGUCGAGCGAAGGAACGAGUAUCUUUUCUCUCUGAUCUUAUCGGCUGACGAGUGAGUAACAGAUGGAUAACUUACCCAUAAGACACGGGUAACUUCCGGAAACAGAAGCUAAUGCAGGAUAAUAUUUUACACCGUAAGGUCCCAACGUCGCAUGAUGCAUUGCUGUAAACUACGGUUGUAUACGAGCUGCAUUCGCUAGUUGGUAAGGUUACGGCGUAACAAGGCUACUAUGCAUAGGCGCCCUGAGCGGGUCAUUGGCUAGCCUAGAACAGAGACAGGGUCCAGACUCCUACGGGGGGCAACAGCAGAGAAUCUUCCGCGAUGGGCGAGAGCCUGACGUAGCAAAGCCGCGUGAGUGAUGAUGGUCUUCGGAUCGUAAAACUCUGUUAUUAGGGAAGAACAUAUGUGUAAGUAACUGUGAACAUCUUGACGGUACCUAAUCAGAAAGCCACGGCUAACUACGUG
Molecule: ribosomal RNA, 497 nt
Filed under: uncultured bacterium
Lineage: Bacteria
Description: partial 16S ribosomal RNA
Rfam family: Bacterial small subunit ribosomal RNA
Source: RNAcentral